GCCAGGUGUGGUGGCGCAUGCCUGCAAUCCCAGUGGCUCGGAGGCUGAGGCUGGAGGAUCGCCAGUUCAAAGCCAGCCUCAGCAACAGUGAGGCCCUAAGCAACCCAGUGAGACCCUGUCUCUA
This 124-nucleotide small RNA is filed under the name Marmota monax (woodchuck). The record is from RNAcentral. Lineage: Eukaryota; Metazoa; Chordata; Mammalia; Rodentia; Sciuridae.